AUGAUUCAUAUAUAUAUUUUUAUUUGAUCAAUUAACUUUUCAGUUAUUUAUAACACAAGUUUUUCUUUUACAUUUGUUUUUUAAUUUUGAUAGACAUGGACCUCUCCAGCCCAACAUGCAAUAGAUUGGGUUGGCUUCAAAUUCAUUUCAACCUGAUCCUUUAGUGUGUUUUUUUUUUUUUGACGGAUUGAAUAAGGAUAGAGUGUUAUUUAUUUAUUUGGACAGAUGCAUUUGAACAUUUGUGUACCUUAUGUAAAACUGUUCCUAACGGGAAAAGGUGGGUGUGGAGCUUCCGUGGGCUUUACGUCUCUUGCUUGUUGUAUUGGCACAUUAUAAGUUGAAAGUGGAAAGCAUCAUCAUCAGUAUCACCUAAUGUGUCGAACUCAUGCAUGACAUUAACUCCACAAAUGAACAAAAAAAUGGUGAAUAGAAAUAAAAGAAACAAAUAUAUAGGUGCAAAAGAAGGAGAAAUUUACAGCGGAAGUGGUAAAUCCGUAGAAGCAUAGUCCUCCGAGGAAUUAGCUGGAAGUCACAAUAGUGGUGAAUGGGUCCCUCCUCACUGCUCAUGCUAGCUGCAAUUGCAUUGCAUCUCUCUUCCCGCUUCCACUCAAACGCUCCUUUUACUUUUUACAUUCAUAUUUUCGCUUCAGUUUUUCAUUUCCUCUUUUUCUUUCUGGGAUGGUGUAUGAAACGACAGUGCACACAGCAACUUUCAAUCAAACAACAUCUCUUGUAAUAAAGCUUGACUUAUAUGAACAUGACACGAAAAUAAACCCUAAAUGUAAUUACGUGACAUUCAAAUAUAUAUUGUAAUAAUAGCAACAUAGGAAUUUUAAACUUUAAAUCUAUUGAA
Non-coding RNA from Cajanus cajan (pigeon pea), 853 nucleotides. NCBI's taxonomy places the organism in Eukaryota, Viridiplantae, Streptophyta, Magnoliopsida, Fabales, Fabaceae. The record is from RefSeq and is a predicted model, not a curated record.